GCCCCCGUAGCUCAACGGACAGAGCAACUGCCUUCUAAGCAGCAGGUUGUGGGUUCGAGUCCCGCCGGGGGCGCCU
RNAcentral lists this transfer RNA (76 nucleotides) under Anaerolineae bacterium. RNAcentral describes it as "tRNA-Arg". It matches the Rfam family "tRNA". Rfam says of the family: Transfer RNA (tRNA) molecules are approximately 80 nucleotides in length. Their secondary structure includes four short double-helical elements and three loops (D, anti-codon, and T loops). Further hydrogen bonds mediate the characteristic L-shaped molecular structure. tRNAs have two regions of fundamental functional importance: the anti-codon, which is responsible for specific mRNA codon recognition, and the 3' end, to which the tRNAs corresponding amino acid is attached (by aminoacyl-tRNA synthetases). tRNAs cope with the degeneracy of the genetic code in two manners: having more than one tRNA (with a specific anti-codon) for a particular amino acid; and 'wobble' base-pairing, i.e. permitting non-standard base-pairing at the 3rd anti-codon position. The record is from RNAcentral. Lineage: Bacteria; Bacillati; Chloroflexota; Anaerolineae.